This 466-nucleotide ribosomal RNA is filed under the name uncultured bacterium. Its description in RNAcentral is "bacterial SSU rRNA". It matches the Rfam family "Bacterial small subunit ribosomal RNA", at positions 28 to 476 of the family's 1533-position model. The record is from RNAcentral.
GACGAACGCNGGCGGCGUGCCUAAUACAUGCAAGUAGAACGCUGAAGAGAGGAGCUUGCUCUUCUUGGAUGAGUUGCGAACGGGUGAGUAACGCGUAGGUAACCUGCCUGGUAGCGGGGGAUAACUAUUGGAAACGAUAGCUAAUACCGCAUAAAAUUGAUUAUUGCAUGAUAAUUAAUUGAAAGAUGCAAUUGCAUCACUACCAGAUGGACCUGCGUUGUAUUAGCUAGUUGGUGAGGUAACGGCUCACCAAGGCGACGAUACAUAGCCGACCUGAGAGGGUGAUCGGCCACACUGGGACUGAGACACGGCCCAGACUCCUACGGGAGGCAGCAGUAGGGAAUCUUCGGCAAUGGGGGGAACCCUGACCGAGCAACGCCGCGUGAGUGAAGAAGGUUUUCGGAUCGUAAAGCUCUGUUGUAAGAGAAGAACGGGUGUGAGAGNGGAAAGUUCACACNGNGACGGU